GGGCAAGUGGCGGAACUGGUAUACGCUUACGCUUCAGGAGCGUAUGGGAGCAAUCCCAUGAGGGUUCAAGUCCCUCCUUGCCCA
This 84-nucleotide transfer RNA is filed under the name Candidatus Colwellbacteria bacterium RIFCSPHIGHO2_12_FULL_44_17. RNAcentral's name for it is "tRNA-Leu". It matches the Rfam family "tRNA". From Rfam's summary of the family: Transfer RNA (tRNA) molecules are approximately 80 nucleotides in length. Their secondary structure includes four short double-helical elements and three loops (D, anti-codon, and T loops). RNAcentral also lists the same sequence under 2 other names. Lineage: Bacteria; Candidatus Colwelliibacteriota. The record is from RNAcentral.